This 236-nucleotide ribosomal RNA is filed under the name uncultured bacterium. RNAcentral's name for it is "partial 16S ribosomal RNA". It matches the Rfam family "Bacterial small subunit ribosomal RNA", at positions 99 to 334 of the family's 1533-position model. The record is from RNAcentral.
CGCACGGGUGAGUAACACGUAUCCAACCUGCCUUCUACUCUUGGCCAGCCUUCUGAAAGGAAGAUUAAUCCAGGAUGGCAUCAUGAGUUCACAUGUCCGCAUGAUUAAAGGUAUUUCCGGUAGACGAUGGGGAUGCGUUCCAUUAGAUAGUAGGCGGGGUAACGGCCCACCUAGUCAACGAUGGAUAGGGGUUCUGAGAGGAAGGUCCCCCACAUUGGAACUGAGACACGGUCCAA